CCUACGGGAGGCAGCAGUGAGGAAUAUUGGUCAAUGGGCGAGAGCCUGAACCAGCCAAGUCGCGUGAGGGAGUACUGCCCUAUGGGUUGUAAACCUCUUUUGUCGGGGCGCAAAAGCCGGACGUGUCCGGCUGUGAGGGUACCCGGAGAAAAGGCCUUGGCUAACCCCGUGCCAGCAGCCGCGGUAAUACGGAGGAUGCGAGCGUUAUCCGGAUUUGUUGGGUUUAAAGGGUGCGCAGGCGGGUUUUUAAGUCAGUGGUAAAAUCGUGGGGCUCAACCCCAUCCAGCCGUUGAAACUGGGGAUCUAGAGUGUGCGAGAGGUAUGCGGAAUGCGUGGUGUAGCGGUGAAAUGCAUAGAUAUCACGCAGAACCCCGAUGGCGAAGGCAGCAUACCGGUGCACAACUGACGCUCAGGCACGAAAGCGUGGGUAUCGAACAGGAUUAGAUACCCGAGUAGUC
RNAcentral lists this ribosomal RNA (458 nucleotides) under uncultured bacterium. RNAcentral's name for it is "partial 16S ribosomal RNA". It matches the Rfam family "Bacterial small subunit ribosomal RNA", at positions 338 to 795 of the family's 1533-position model. The record is from RNAcentral.